AACGAACGCUGGCGGCAUGCCUAACACAUGCAAGUCGAACGAGACCUUCGGGUCUAGUGGCGCACGGGUGCGUAACGCGUGGGAACCUGCCCUUAGGUUCGGAAUAACUCCCCGAAAGGGGUGCUAAUACCGGAUAAUGUCUUCGGACCAAAGAUUUAUCGCCUUUGGAUGGGCCCGCGUUCGAUUAGCUAGUUGGUAGGGUAAAAGCCUACCAAGGCGACGAUCCAUAGCUGGUCUGAGAGGAUGAUCAGCCACACUGGGACUGAGACACGGCCCAGACUCCUACGGGAGGCAGCAGUGGGGAAUAUUGGACAAUGGGCGAAAGCCUGAUCCAGCAAUGCCGCGUGAGUGAUGAAGGCCUUAGGGUUGUAAAGCUCUUUUACCCGGGAUGAUAAUGACAGUACCGGGAGAAUAAGCGCCGGCUAACUCCGUG
RNAcentral lists this ribosomal RNA (433 nucleotides) under uncultured bacterium. RNAcentral's name for it is "partial 16S ribosomal RNA". It matches the Rfam family "Bacterial small subunit ribosomal RNA", at positions 29 to 507 of the family's 1533-position model. The record is from RNAcentral.